UACGGGAGGCAGCAGUGAGGAAUAUUGCGCAAUGGAGGAAACUCUGACGCAGCCAUCCCGCGUGCAGGAUUGACGGCCCUAUGGGUUGUAAACUGCUUUUCUAUACCAAGAAACACCGAUACGUGUAUCGGUUUGCCGGUAGUAUAGGAGUAAGCAUCGGCUAACUCCGUGCCAGCAGCCGCGGUAAUACGGAGGAUGCAAGCGUUAUCCGGAAUCACUGGGUUUAAAGGGUGCGCAGGCGGAAUAGUAAGUCAGAGGUGAAAGCCCACAGCUCAACUGUGGAAUUGCCUUUGAUACUGUUAUUCUUGAGUGUAGUUGAAGUAGGCGGAAUAUAGCAUGUAGCGGUGAAAUGCAUAGAUAUGCUAUAGAACACCAAUUGCGAAGGCAGCUUGCUAAACUAUAACUGACGCUGAGGCACGAAAGCGUGGGGAGCGAACAGGAUUAGAUACCCUGGUAGUCCACGCCGUAAACUAUGAACACUCGCUGUUGGCAAUACACAGUCAGCGGCUGAGCGAAAGCGUUAAGUGUUCCACCUGGGAAGUACGAUCGCAAGGUUGAAACUCAAAGGAAUUGACGGGGGCCCGCACAAGCGGAGGAGCAUGUGGUUUAAUUCGAUGAUACGCGAGGAACCUUACCUGGGCUUAAAUGUAUAUUGACGUACUGAGAAAUCAGUAUUUCUUCGGACAAUUUACAAGGUGCUGCAUGGUUGUCGUCAGCUCGUGCCGUGAGGUGUCGGGUUAAGUCCCAUAACGAGCGCAACCCCUACUUCUAGUUACCAGCAUUUCGGAUGGGGACUCUAGAGGAACUGCCUACGCAAGUAGAGAGGAAGGUGGGGAUGACGUCAAAUCAGCACGGCCCUUAUGUCCAGGGCUACACACGUGCUACAAUGGCCGGUACAGAGGGCAGCUACAUAGCAAUAUGAUGCUAAUCUCAAAAGCCGGUCUCAGUCCGGAUUGGAGUCUGCAACUCGACUCCAUGAAGCUGGAUUCGCUAGUAAUCGCACAUCAGCAAUGGUGCGGUGAAUACGUUCCCGGGCCUUGUACACACCGCCCGUCAAGCCAUGGAAGUUGGGGGUACCUGAAGUCGAUUGCCGUAAGGCGUUGCCUAGG
RNAcentral lists this ribosomal RNA (1109 nucleotides) under uncultured organism. RNAcentral describes it as "bacterial SSU rRNA". It matches the Rfam family "Bacterial small subunit ribosomal RNA", at positions 340 to 1461 of the family's 1533-position model. The record is from RNAcentral.